CAUAGCGACUAUCGUGGCAUAUCAAUAAGCGGAGGAAAAGAAACUAACAAGGAUUCCCCUAGUAACGGCGAGUGAAGCGGGAAGAGCUCAAAUUUGAAAUCUUAAAGGGUUUCCCUUUACGAAUUGUAGUUUAAAGAAGUGUUUUCGGUUAGAGGAGUAGUAAAAGUUCUUUGGAAUAGGACAUCAUAGAGGGUGAGAAUCCCGUAUUUGACUAUUCUUUCUAGCUUUGUGAUACACUUUCAAAGAGUCGGAUUGUUUGGGAAUGCAGUCCAAAAUGGGUGGUAAAUUUCAUCUAAAGCUAAAUAUUGGCGAGAGACCGAUAGCGAACAAGUACCGUGAGGGAAAGGUGAAAAGAACUUUGAAAAGAGAGUUAAACAGUACGUGAAAUUGUCAAAAGGGAAGCGUUUGACACCAGUGUUGUUUUUCCGAAAAUCAAUUGCGAAUGUUUUAUUUUUGAGGAGUUAUGACUUCAUCGGCUUGCUCCUUUCUUUAUGAAACUUUCUUAAUGCACUUUUCGGUUAACAAGUCAACAUCAAUUUCUUUUGUUGUAAAAGGGUAUGAGGAAGGUGGCUUUCUUUUCGGAGAAAGUGUUUAUAGCCUUGUACCUCUGCAAUCGGAGAGAUUGAGGUCUGCAGCGUAGAUCCUUCGGGGUUAGAUACAUUUGUGCUAAGUUAUAGUCUUUCAUAGACAACUUGUUGACUAUAAUUUAAUCCUUGUAACUUACUCGCUUAUGCUAUUUUACCUACGCUUAGGAUGUUGAUAGUCACAGCGUGUAC
RNAcentral lists this ribosomal RNA (776 nucleotides) under uncultured Neocallimastigales. RNAcentral describes it as "partial large subunit ribosomal RNA". It matches the Rfam family "Eukaryotic large subunit ribosomal RNA", at positions 22 to 644 of the family's 3401-position model. The record is from RNAcentral. Lineage: Eukaryota; Fungi; Neocallimastigomycota; Neocallimastigomycetes; Neocallimastigales.